This 386-nucleotide ribosomal RNA is filed under the name Salmonella enterica subsp. enterica serovar Muenchen. Its description in RNAcentral is "partial 23S ribosomal RNA". It matches the Rfam family "Bacterial large subunit ribosomal RNA", at positions 137 to 561 of the family's 2925-position model. The record is from RNAcentral. Lineage: Bacteria; Pseudomonadati; Pseudomonadota; Gammaproteobacteria; Enterobacterales; Enterobacteriaceae. RNAcentral also lists the same sequence under 19 other names.
GACUCGUCACACUAUCAUUAACUGAAUCCAUAGGUUAAUGAGGCGAACCGGGGGAACUGAAACAUCUAAGUACCCCGAGGAAAAGAAAUCAACCGAGAUUCCCCCAGUAGCGGCGAGCGAACGGGGAGGAGCCCAGAGCCUGAAUCAGCAUGUGUGUUAGUGGAAGCGUCUGGAAAGGCGCGCGAUACAGGGUGACAGCCCCGUACACAAAAGCGCAUGUGCUGUGAGCUCGAUGAGUAGGGCGGGACACGUGGUAUCCUGUCUGAAUAUGGGGGGACCAUCCUCCAAGGCUAAAUACUCCUGACUGACCGAUAGUGAACCAGUACCGUGAGGGAAAGGCGAAAAGAACCCCGGCGAGGGGAGUGAAAAAGAACCUGAAACCGUGU